UACGUAGGGCCCAAGCGCUAUCCGGAAUCACUGGGCGUAAAGCGUGUGUAGGUGGCGGUUUAAGUGGGGUGCGAAAUCCCAGGGCUCAACCCUGUGGACUGUGCCUCAAACUGGACUGCUAGAGGUUGUCAGAGGUUAGUGGAACUUGCGGUGUAGGAGUGAAAUCCGUAGAUAUCGCAAAGAACACCAAUGGCGAAGGCAGCUAACUGGGACAUACCUGACACUGAGACACGAAAGCGUGGGGAGCGAAUGGG
Molecule: ribosomal RNA, 254 nt
Filed under: uncultured bacterium
Lineage: Bacteria
Description: partial 16S ribosomal RNA
Rfam family: Bacterial small subunit ribosomal RNA
Source: RNAcentral